This 492-nucleotide ribosomal RNA is filed under the name uncultured bacterium. RNAcentral describes it as "partial 16S ribosomal RNA". It matches the Rfam family "Bacterial small subunit ribosomal RNA", at positions 29 to 507 of the family's 1533-position model. The record is from RNAcentral.
AGUGAACGCUGGCGGUAGGCCUAGCACAUGCAAGUCGAACGGCAGCACAGUAAGAGCUUGCUCUUACGGGUGGCGAGUGGCGGACGGGUGAGGAAUACAUCGGAAUCUACUUUUUCGUGGGGGAUAACGUAGGGAAACUUACGCUAAUACCGCAUACGACCUACGGGUGAAAGCAGGGGAUCUUCGGACCUUGCGCGAUUGAAUGAGCCGAUGUCGGAUUAGCUAGUUGGCGGGGUAAAGGCCCACCAAGGCGACGAUGCGUAGCUGGUCUGAGAGGAUGAUCAGCCACACUGGAACUGAGACACGGUCCAGACUCCUACGGGAGGCAGCAGUGGGGAAUAUUGGACAAUGGGCGCAAGCCUGAUGCAGCCAUACCGCGUGAGUGAAGAAGGCCUUCGGGUUGUAAAGCCCUUUUGUUGGGAAAGAAAAGCAGCAGAUUAAUCCCCCGCUGUUCUGACGGUACCCAAAGAAUAAGCAACGGCUAACUUCGUG